GACGCACGCUGGCGGCGUGCUUAACACAUGCAAGUCGAGCGGAGCGGCGAACGGGUGAGUAACGCGUGAGUAACUGCCCCCCUCUCUGGGAUAACAGUUGGAAACGGCUGCUAAUACCGGAUAGUGGGGGAUGACGCGCGUCCUAGCAGUUUGUUGGGGGGGUAGUGGCGUACCAAGGCGACGACGGGUAGCCGGCAUGGGAUGGCGACCGUCCACAUUGGGCUGAGAUACGGCCCAAACUCCUACGGGAGGCAGCAGUGGGGAAUAUUGCACAAUGGGGGAAACCCUGAUGCAGCAACGCGCGGGCGGGAUGACGGCCUUGGGGUUGUAAACCGCUUUCAGCCAUGACGCGGUAGUGGCAGAAGAAGCACCGGCUAACUACGUGCCAGCAGCCGCGGUAAUUC
RNAcentral lists this ribosomal RNA (404 nucleotides) under uncultured bacterium. Its description in RNAcentral is "partial 16S ribosomal RNA". It matches the Rfam family "Bacterial small subunit ribosomal RNA", at positions 28 to 526 of the family's 1533-position model. The record is from RNAcentral.